UGAUGUGUUUGCUUUUCUCUUUCUCCAGGGUGAGGCUGGAGUGAGUGGCCUCCCAGGAGGAAAUGGAGUUCGUGGUCCUCCUGGACCAUCUGGACUCCCAGGGCUGCCUGGUCCCCCAGGUCCCCCAGGACCUCCUGGACACCCAGGGGUUCUUCCAGAUGGUGCUGGUGACCUUCAGUGUCCAUCUAUCUGUCCACCUG
Molecule: long non-coding RNA, 200 nt
Filed under: Monodelphis domestica (gray short-tailed opossum)
Lineage: Eukaryota; Metazoa; Chordata; Mammalia; Didelphimorphia; Didelphidae
Description: lncRNA (ENSMODG00000036861.1)
Source: RNAcentral